Molecule: long non-coding RNA, 2140 nt
Organism: Lagenorhynchus albirostris (white-beaked dolphin)
Lineage: Eukaryota; Metazoa; Chordata; Mammalia; Artiodactyla; Delphinidae
Exons: 4
Source: RefSeq, a predicted model, not a curated record
UAAACCCGCGUAGCUCAUCAGGGAGCGAAAUCCCCAUGGCUCAUCUGGCAAGUCAGGAAAACUGGAGUUUGCGGUGAAGGAUCGGGUCGGGGGUCGGGGGAGAAGGAAGGAGGAGGAUAAAUUUGUCUUCCUCACCAGUCAAGCUGGGAAUUUGCGCUGCAGUAACAGCACGAGGAGCUUUAACAAAUACGAAAAGUGGAUAAAGCACCCAAACGAGUGGUGUAUCCAAAGAUAGAAAAAGAUCAUCUAUUUUGAUAGUGAAAACAAAACAGAAUUGCCAUAUUUUCCUCUAAAUUGGCUUUUCAUCUUUAAAUGUGAAAACACCAACACCAGAGAGAGAGGGAGAGAAGGCAGUGUUUAAAACACCACGAACAGAUAGAUACCUCCAAGUGCGCUGCUGUGUUUGCACAGCCACCCUGGGUGACACUGGACUCUCCUGGUGAAUGGGUUCCGGGUUCAAAGCACGUAACCGAUUGCUACUCCUGAACUGCUAAAUGUAACCUAUGGGGAAAUUUUGUCUGCGGCAGAAAGGCCGGACAUCGUGAGUGAGUCUGAACGCCCCGCAGGUCCCUCGCGAGGACUUCAUUGCCCACAGCCACUUCAGAACGACCGCGUGGGGACAUUAAAGAUGCAGUUUGUGAAGAACAGCAGGGCAUCACAUGCAAAGCCUCGAAAUAGUCAGCCAGUCAAAUCAGUGGAAAAAAUCAGCUUUUGUUAGAUUUUGCAGUUUCAGGAAUUAGGCAUUCACUGCAGAGCUGCAGUUUUGAGAAAUUGCAGUGUCAGGCGUGUUCCCAAUGGGGAAAUAUUGUGAGAGUGUGGAGGAAUGUAAGAUUGGGUUUGACAAUGGGGGGACUGACAAGAGUUAUCACCCAGACAUUGUUCUCUCUCGCGCACCCCGGAAACGCUAAGUAGAGACGGUAUCUAGUGGCAGCAAUAGUCCUCCACGCUCACAGACGUGGGGAUGAGAGUCUUAGCCUCGAAAAGCCUGGCCUCGGGUUUCACAGGAGGAAAACUGGAACGCGUAGGGCACAGAACCUCAUAGGUACAGAACACCUAUAAACAGUAUAGUAGCAGGGUAGGGUCGGCCUGAAGACAUUCCAAGCAGAAGCCAACUUCUCCUUUUUCUUUCUAAGCAACAGAACAGGAGGAAAUCCAGGGAGAAACGACACCUGUGCUCAAAGAAAAGGAAGAAUCAUGGUGAGAUACCUCAAUAUAUACUACCCGCAGAUAGGAAUCCAGCUCAGAGACGUUGGUAAAGGGGCUGCAACGCCCCCGAGGAGGUGGUCCGGGUGUACGACUCCAGAAGACGAGCACGCAAAGCCAUCCCUCUGCUGCCUUAUCGGGAGGCUCGGUCGCAGCAAGGGGACUAUUUCUCGUCCAGAGCAGCAGUCAGGCACUCAGAUGCACCCACAAAAUCAAGGUGCCGCGGCAGGAGAGAACCCUACAGGCCUGCGGUGAUGAUUCCUGGCAGGAACGGAAAUCCAGAUCAAAUCUUCAAAACGUUUGCGCUUGCAGACAAGAAAGGCUAAGUCCUUGUGCGAAGAAUUCAUCAGCUAAAGAGACUCGCAGCCGUUGUGAAGAGUGUUUACUGUGAUGUGCCUGUACUUCGCUUUCUCCAGGUGUUGUCUGUUAGGGCCUCAGGCAGGACGGGGAGAAAGAAAGGAUCCCACAUUUCAGAAGACCCGCUUCCAGGCUUGGAGUCCAGAGUCAAAACUGGACAACGUUCGUACAAGGAAUGUGUCCGAGUGUUUCCCGUGUGCCAGGCCCUGUUCUAACACGGAGCCCCCGAGUAACAACACAAAGAAAGGGGCCCGCCCCGACCAGCUGACAGUUACGAUGCUGGGAAGUCCGACGCUGAGGAGGACGGGUUUGCCUUCUGCAACCCGGCCCAUCUAUUGGCUGACAAGGAUUUCCUUUUUUGGAGGGAGCCAGACUGGAACCUCGUUCCCUCACUUGAGAGGGAGAGAGGGACCAAGGCCUGCGAGCAGGCUCGGGGAGGCCCUAGUCUGAGGAGCUACACUCCCUGUAGGACCAGUGGCUCGGAGUACGCCUGUCAUGCUAGAACGGCAGCCUCGAACACAGCAGCUCCACGCUGCCCGCGCCUCGCAUCCUAGUAUCUGUCCAGAAACGAGCAAAUACA